This 503-nucleotide ribosomal RNA is filed under the name uncultured bacterium. RNAcentral's name for it is "partial 16S ribosomal RNA". It matches the Rfam family "Bacterial small subunit ribosomal RNA", at positions 30 to 523 of the family's 1533-position model. The record is from RNAcentral.
AUUGAACGCUGGCGGCAGGCUUAACACAUGCAAGUCGAGCGGGGUGAUGGUGCUUGCACUAUCACUUAGCGGCGGACGGGUGAGUAAUGCUUAGGAAUCUGCCUAUUAGUGGGGGACAACAUCUCGAAAGGGAUGCUAAUACCGCAUACGUCCUACGGGAGAAAGCAGGGGAUCACUUGUGACCUUGCGCUAAUAGAUGAGCUUAAGUCGGAAUAGCUAGUUGGUGGGGUAAAGGCCUACCAAGGCGACGAUCUGUAGCGGGUCUGAGGGGAUGAUCCGCCACACUGGGACUGAGACACGGCCCAGACUCCUACGGGAGGCAGCAGUGGGGAAUAUUGGACAAUGGGGGGAACCCUGAUCCAGCCAUGCCGCGUGUGUGAAGAAGGCCUUAUGGUUGUAAAGCACUUUAAGCGAGGAGGAGGCUCUUUUGGUUAAUACCCAAGAUGAGUGGACGUUACUCGCAGAAUAAGCACCGGCUAACUCUGUGCCAGCAGCCGCGGUAA